UACGUACUGUGCGAACGUUAUUCGGAAUCACUGGGCUUAAAGGGUGUGUAGGCGGCUGAUUAAGUAGGGUGUGAAAGGCCUCGGCCUAACCGGGGCACUGCGCUCUAAACUGAUCGGCUUGAGUGAGAUAGGGGUGUGCGGAACUUCCAGUGGAGCGGUGAAAUGUGUUGAUAUUGGAAGGAACGCCGGUGGCGAAAGCGGCACACUGGGUCUUAACUGACGCUGAGACACGAAAGCCAGGGGAGCAAACGGG
Molecule: ribosomal RNA, 253 nt
Filed under: uncultured bacterium
Lineage: Bacteria
Description: partial 16S ribosomal RNA
Rfam family: Bacterial small subunit ribosomal RNA
Source: RNAcentral